This 303-nucleotide unclassified non-coding RNA is filed under the name Hevea brasiliensis (rubber tree). The record is from RNAcentral. Lineage: Eukaryota; Viridiplantae; Streptophyta; Magnoliopsida; Malpighiales; Euphorbiaceae.
AAAGGACUCUGCUUAUGGAUCUUAUGAAUCUGAUAAUACUUAUAGGGACUAUUACAGGCAGCAAUUGAUGGGCAAUCAGAGCAAAUUCAAUGGAGUUUUGGAAAGUUUGAGAAAAGAAUCUGAAGAAUCAGCACUGCUGGCUGCUCUUACGGAACUAUGUGAUUUGUUAUCGUUUUCUCCUGAUAGUUCGAUGUCGAACGUAAUGGCAGAUUUAUUUUCUCCCGUUCUUGUUAGAUUGGCUAGAUAUGAGAGCAAUUCUGAAAUAAUGCUAUUAGCAAUCAGGGCAAUGACUUAUUUAUGUGA